AAAGUUGAAGAUGAUGAGAUCAUAUCUUUUAUUCUUACCGGAUUGGACGGUGAGUAUAAUCCUAUUGUCACUUCGGUCAUGGGGCGCACGGAUCAGAUCUUGUUGAGUGAGCUGUAUGCGCAAGUAAUGGCAUAUGAGU
Molecule: small nucleolar RNA, 139 nt
Filed under: Setaria italica (foxtail millet)
Lineage: Eukaryota; Viridiplantae; Streptophyta; Magnoliopsida; Poales; Poaceae
Also listed under: 1 other name
Description: Small nucleolar RNA Z247
Rfam family: Small nucleolar RNA Z247
About the family: Z247 is a member of the C/D class of snoRNA which contain the C (UGAUGA) and D (CUGA) box motifs. Most of the members of the box C/D family function in directing site-specific 2'-O-methylation of substrate RNAs.
Source: Rfam by way of RNAcentral